GGGGAUUUAGCUCAGUGGUAGAGCGAGCGCUUGCCUAGGAAGCGCAAGGCCCUGGGUUCGGUCCCCAGCUCCG
Non-coding RNA from Rattus norvegicus (Norway rat), 73 nucleotides. NCBI's taxonomy places the organism in Eukaryota, Metazoa, Chordata, Mammalia, Rodentia, Muridae. The record is from Rfam.